Molecule: non-coding RNA, 2962 nt
Organism: Gasterosteus aculeatus aculeatus (three-spined stickleback)
Lineage: Eukaryota; Metazoa; Chordata; Actinopteri; Perciformes; Gasterosteidae
Source: RefSeq, a predicted model, not a curated record
UCCAUGACGACCAGAGGGUCUCAUGUUGGUUACAAGUGUAACUCGCACCGCAGAAAAGAACAACUUGUUUUGUCUUCGCGGAGUACCGUUGAAUAAUUACAGUCAUGAUUACGUCAAUGAAUCAAUCCGUAAUUACCACUUGAGAUGAAGCUUUUAAAGUGCAUGAUCCACUCAAAUAAUUCUAAUGAAACACAGUAAUGAAUAAUUGAAUUGUUAAUCACAGGGCACUUUUUAAGACAAAGUUCUUUCCGGUGAGUUGAUUCAAGCCGAUGUCCUGUCCAUGUUCGGUGUCGGCUGCUCGAUGCUGCAUCCACGCGUGUUGCAUCGUGAGUAACGUGAAUGUUGUCAUGUUCACGUAUCAAACGAUAAGUCAAUAAAGUAAAAUGGGUCCAUAUAUGGGUCAUAAAAUGUAUAAAUAUAAGUAUCAUGUCCAGCCCACGAUGGGUCAACCACGUAAUAAUAGUUAAACUAUUGUUACAAUAUUUCCAUAUCAAACUUCUCAGCCAAUCGGGUCCUUCAGAUGAGUUCACACCUUCCAGCUUGAAGGUACCGAUUAGCUCAGGGGUCCCCAAACUACGGCCCGCGGGCCGCAUACGGCCCGCCUCCACAUUUGACCCGGCCCCCUGAACAAUAUAGAGACGGAAAAAAGGCUAAUGGUUAUGGUAAAAUGGUUGUGUCAUACAAGUAAUUAAGACUGCUCGACGGAUCGCGGUCCCUUUAAAUGUUCUGUUGUUGUUGAUGACGUAGAGCCCGUUGAUGGGGAGCAUUACAGGGCUGCGCCAUCUUGUUUUUCAUCCGUUGUGAAAAAUAAACGAGACACACGCUUGUUCUCAACUUUCUCUGUGGAAUGCAACUUCCACAAUAAUGGCAAAACGGUGUGGUAAGAGAAAAAUUGAUUCAGAACGCAGGGUAUUUAACCCGCAGUGGACACAUGAUUACUUUUUUGUUCAGUUGAAAGAAAAGGCUGUUUGUCUCGUCUGUCAAGAGACGGUGGCGGUAUUCAAAGAAUACAACCUGCGCCGACAUUAUGAAUCCCGUCACAAAGACAAGUAUGCUAGCCUGCACGGCCAAAUGCGAGCAGAAAAAAUGUCUAAGCUAAAAACUGGACUGUUCGCUCAGCAGACUACAUUUGUACGGCAAACUCGGCUGAACCAAGCAUCAGUUCGGGCCGGCUUCCGUGUUGCUCGGCUGAUAGCGAGCUGCGGUAAAUCUUUCACUGAAGGAGAGUUUGUCAAGAAAUGUUUGAAUGUUGUCGUGGAGGAGGUCUGUCCCGAGAAGAAAGAUGUCUUUAAUGCCGUGAGUCUGUCGGCAAGUACAAUUACCCGACGUGUUGAAGAAAUCGGGGGUAAUGUGUAUGCCCAGCUGCAGCAGAAGACUAAAGAUUUUCAGGUUUUUCAUUAGCACUGGAUGAGAGCACGGACGUGCAGGACACCGCGGAGCUUCUUAUUUUUAUUCGUGGAGUUAACGCAAACUUUGAGAAGUGCGAGGAGCUGGCAGCCCUACAAAGCAUGAAAGGGACUACAACUGGGGAGGAUAUUUUCGACAAAGUAUGUCAAACCAUGCAACAGUUGGAUCUGGACUGGGCAAAGCUUGCCAGCAUCACGACUGACGGGGCGCCUAGUAUGGUGGGCGCGUCUCGGGGUUUAAUAGGACGCAUGAACCGGGAGAUGGAGGAACGGGGUCUCACCGCCCUGCUACAAGUACACUGCCUAAUUCACCAGCAAGCGCUGUGCUGCAAAGUGUUGAAGUGGGAUUCUGUCAUGAAGGUUGUGGUAUUGUGCAUAAACUUCAUCAGAGCUAAUGGACUUAAACACAGGCAGUUCCAACAAUUCCUGUCUGAACUGGAGUCUGUGUGCUGUACCACACAGAGAUCCGAUGGUUGAGCCGCGGCAAAGUUCUGAGGCCUUUUUACGAGCUGCUACCUGACGUUAACGCAUUUCUUCAGUCGAAAGGCAAAACAGUCCCAGAGCUGAUCGACCCAGCAUGGAAAUGGCGCCUCGCAUUUUUUACAGACGUGACAGAUCUGCUGAACGGCCUUAACUUGCAGCUACAAGGAAGGGGUAGACUCAUUUGCGACAUGUAUUCCCACAUGAAAGGAUUUGAGUGAAACUACGGCUGGUUUUGGAACAAGUGAAAAAGCACAACUUCACCCAUCUCCCUGCUACCCAAAGCUUUUCUCCAGAGAAGCCAUCUGUCGCGUUCCCAGGUGAAAAGUGUGUGGAAGCACUGGAAAUGCUGAAGGCGGAGUUCGGUGUACGAUUCCGUGAACUACAUGUUCAUGCAAAAGAAAUCCGUCUUUUUCAGAACCCUUCUGUUGCCGACAUCGAUGAAGCCCAGCCUUCGUAUCAGUUUGAGCUGGCCGAGUUACAGAACUGUGAUGUUCUGAAAGACGCAUUCAAGCCCAACAGUCUCAUUGACUUCUAUGCCGCCCUCCCAAAUGACACCUACCCUAACAUAAAACAACACGCAAUGAAGAUGUCCACACUCUUUGGCAGCACGUAUAUCUGCGAGCAAACCUUUUCACGCAUGAUACUCCUGAAAACUCCAACGAGAUCAAGAUUGACAGAUGAACAUUUGCAUCAGUGUUUGAGACUGGCUGUGACUAGAAUGGAACCGGACAUUCAACUUCUCUCCAGCCAGACGCAGGCCCACAGUUCACACUGAUGAACACACAGUACAUAGAGGGAAGUUGAUGAGAGGGAGCCUACAGUGGUGUCUACUGGGCUAGCCUAUGGAACCUACAAAGAACACAAGAACUUUGAGAGACAUUUGAGAUUCUGCUGUGACAAGUGAAGUUUACCUUUUAUCUAGGAUUGUGCAUGGCACAGCAAAACUCUCUGUGAAGAACCCAGAGAGGGUUAUUUGAUCUCAGAAAGGGUUAUUAAUAUUUGGAUAUGUGUGGUGCGCUGGAGUGUCAGCAUGUUUUCUGGAAAACAAUAAAUGAUUACAUUUGGGACCCCUG